UAGGGAAUCUUCGGCAAUGGACGAAAGUCUGAACGAGCAACGCCGAGUGAGUGAAGAAGGUUUUCGGAUCGGAAAACUCUGUUGUUAGAGAAGAACAAGGACGUUAGUAAUUGAACGUCCCUUGAAGGUAUCUAAAUAGAAAGCCACGGCUAACUACGUGCCAGGAGCUGCGGUAAUACGUUGGUGGCAAGCGUUGUCCGGAUUUAUUGGGCGUAAAGCGAGCGCAGGCGGUUUCUUAAGUCGGAUGUGAAAGCCCCCGGCUCAACCGGGGAGUGUCAUUAGAAACUGGGAGACUUGAGUGCAAAAGAGGAGAGUGGAAUUCCAUUUGUAGCGAUGAAAUGCGUAGAUAUAUGGAGGAACACCAGUGGCGAAGGCGGCUCUCUGGUCUGUAACUGACGCUGAGGCUCGAAAGCGUGGGGAGCAAACAGG
This 429-nucleotide ribosomal RNA is filed under the name Gemmatimonadota bacterium. Its description in RNAcentral is "Gemmatimonadetes bacterium partial 16S ribosomal RNA". It matches the Rfam family "Bacterial small subunit ribosomal RNA", at positions 355 to 776 of the family's 1533-position model. The record is from RNAcentral. Lineage: Bacteria; Pseudomonadati; Gemmatimonadota.